This 1283-nucleotide ribosomal RNA is filed under the name Salmonella enterica. Its description in RNAcentral is "bacterial LSU rRNA". It matches the Rfam family "Bacterial large subunit ribosomal RNA", at positions 1 to 1314 of the family's 2925-position model. The record is from RNAcentral. Lineage: Bacteria; Pseudomonadati; Pseudomonadota; Gammaproteobacteria; Enterobacterales; Enterobacteriaceae.
GGGUUGUGAGGUUAAGCGACUAAGCGUACACGGUGGAUGCCCUGGCAGUCAGAGGCGAUGAAGGGCGUGCUAAUCUGCGAUAAGCGCCGGUAAGGUGAUAUGAACCGUUAUAACCGGCGAUACCCGAAUGGGGAAACCCAGUGUGACUCGUCACACUAUCAUUAACUGAAUCCAUAGGUUAAUGAGGCGAACCGGGGGAACUGAAACAUCUAAGUACCCCGAGGAAAAGAAAUCAACCGAGAUUCCCCCAGUAGCGGCGAGCGAACGGGGAGGAGCCCAGAGCCUGAAUCAGCAUGUGUGUUAGUGGAAGCGUCUGGAAAGGCGCGCGAUACAGGGUGACAGCCCCGUACACAAAAGCGCAUGUGCUGUGAGCUCGAUGAGUAGGGCGGGACACGUGGUAUCCUGUCUGAAUAUGGGGGGACCAUCCUCCAAGGCUAAAUACUCCUGACUGACCGAUAGUGAACCAGUACCGUGAGGGAAAGGCGAAAAGAACCCCGGCGAGGGGAGUGAAAAAGAACCUGAAACCGUGUACGUACAAGCAGUGGGAGCACCCUUUGGGGUGUGACUGCGUACCUUUUGUAUAAUGGGUCAGCGACUUAUAUUCUGUAGCAAGGUUAACCGUAUAGGGGAGCCGGAGGGAAACCGAGUCUUAAUUGGGCGUUAAGUUGCAGGGUAUAGACCCGAAACCCGGUGAUCUAGCCAUGGGCAGGUUGAAGGUUGGGUAACACUAACUGGAGGACCGAACCGACUAAUGUUGAAAAAUUAGCGGAUGACCUGUGGCUGGGGGUGAAAGGCCAAUCAAACCGGGAGAUAGCUGGUUCUCCCCGAAAGCUAUUUAGGUAGCGCCUCGUGAAUUCAUCUCCGGGGGUAGAGCACUGUUUCGGCUAGGGGGCCAUCCCGGCUUACCAACCCGAUGCAAACUGCGAAUACCGGAGAAUGUUAUCACGGGAGACACACGGCGGGUGCUAACGUCCGUCGUGAAGAGGGAAACAACCCAGACCGCCAGCUAAGGUCCCAAAGUCAUGGUUAAGUGGGAAACGAUGUGGGAAGGCCCAGACAGCCAGGAUGUUGGCUUAGAAGCAGCCAUCAUUUAAAGAAAGCGUAAUAGCUCACUGGUCGAGUCGGCCUGCGCGGAAGAUGUAACGGGGCUAAACCAUGCACCGAAGCUGCGGCAGCGACGCUUAUGCGUUGUUGGGUAGGGGAGCGUUCUGUAAGCCUGUGAAGGUGGCCUGUGAGGGUUGCUGGAGGUAUCAGAAGUGCGAAUGCUGACAUAAGUAACGAUA